AGCAGUGGCUGGAUCUAUGAUUUCAAAAUACAUAGGAGAGGAGUCCCUAGCCUUGAGGGGUUAAUGCGAGGUUGGUGAGAGUUGGAGGAGGAGCAUGUGGAGGUGGGAGUGGUGGAGUCACGUGAUAUGAAGGGAUAUGAUAGAGGGGAACCUUCGAAAGCGGUUAGGGAGAAAGGGAAGCGUAGGGUUUCUUCUCUACGAAUGAUAGUGUUGAUGGCAUCGUUGAGGCUUUGUGGACAACAACGGGAAGCUUCUCCUGCUACUCCUUGUUGUUCUUAGCAGAGGGAGAGUGAAACUCAAUGGCGACCCUGAUCGAAUAGGUGAGGUGCGUUUAGGAAUCGGAGGGAAGGAAUAGAGCAUUAAAGAGAAGGAAGAAAAAGAACCUGAAAAGGGAACCUAUGAUAGGUUGGUGGCGGAAUAAAGAGAGAGAAGAAAGAAAAAGUUGGGUGUUACAAGCACAGCAGAGGAGAGAGGGGAAAAAGUACUUCACGUCAGACGAAGUUAAUGUCGUUGCUACCAACUUAAUCCACAGGACUUCAUUCAUACAAUUUUGUCAACUUUAGGAUCUAAUAUCUACACUUUUAAAAUCGGAUACUAAACUGAAAAUUACCACCGAAGAUAAAGACCAAGUAAACAUUUAAUUUUCUUUUUAUUUAAUUUCUUUCCACCAACCACGUAAGUUUUUCACAUCUGUCUCGCAUUAAAUCUUAAUUAAUUGUUCAAGCGUAGUUUAUAGAACGAAAAAGAGAAAAAAAAAAUUUCACUAACAAAUCAGUUAUCUAGCUUAACAGUUAUCAUUAAUUUAUUGUUCUUUAUAUAAUAUAUGAAAAACAUGAUUGUUUUAGUUCUUACUUUCAUACAUUACAACUACUUACUUGAAAGUUAAUAUAUAAAUAAUAAAUAAUUAGAUUAAGAUGUAGCAGAAAAU
Molecule: long non-coding RNA, 928 nt
Filed under: Vigna radiata
Lineage: Eukaryota; Viridiplantae; Streptophyta; Magnoliopsida; Fabales; Fabaceae
Description: long non-coding RNA (VRAD_LNC011562)
Source: RNAcentral